UCUGGCAUGUGAACAGAUGGUUUGGUCAGC
Molecule: non-coding RNA, 30 nt
Filed under: Homo sapiens (human)
Lineage: Eukaryota; Metazoa; Chordata; Mammalia; Primates; Hominidae
Source: RNAcentral